This 596-nucleotide ribosomal RNA is filed under the name uncultured fungus. Its description in RNAcentral is "eukaryotic LSU rRNA". The stretch from base 241 to 392 matches the Rfam family "5.8S ribosomal RNA". The record is from RNAcentral. Lineage: Eukaryota; Fungi.
CGCCCCUUCUUGGUCAUUUAGAGGAAGUAAAAGUCGUAACAAGGUCUCCUAGGUGAACCUGCGGAGGGAUCAUUACCGAGUUCAUGCCCUUACGGGUAAUCUCCCACCCUGUGUUAUUAUUACCUUUGUUGCUUUGGCGGGCCGUCAGCUUCGGUCAGGCUAUCGGCUCCGGCUGGUAAGCGCCCGCCAGAGGACCUAAACUCCGAAUAUUAGUGUUGUCUGAGUACUAUAAAAUAGUUAAAACUUCAACAACGGAUCUCUUGGUUCUGGCAUCGAUGAAGAACGCAGCGAAAUCGAUAAGUAAUGUGAAUUGCAGAAUUCAGUGAAUCAUCGAAUCUUUGAAGCACAUUGCGCCCCUUGGUAUUCCGAGGGGCAUGCCUGUUCGAGCGUCAUACAACCCUCAAGCACUGCUUGGUAUUGGGCUCCGCUGGUCUCAGCGGGCUUAAAAUCAGUGGCGGCGCCGUCUGGGCUCUGAGCGUAGUAAAUAUCCCGCUAUAGAGACCAGGUGGUUCUUGUCAUCAACCCCCAACUUUCUUAAGUUGACCUCGGAUCAGGUAGGGAUACCCGCUGAACUUAAGCAUAUCAAUAGCGGAGGA